Molecule: ribosomal RNA, 605 nt
Filed under: Pseudogymnoascus pannorum
Lineage: Eukaryota; Fungi; Ascomycota; Leotiomycetes; Thelebolales; Thelebolaceae
Description: eukaryotic LSU rRNA
Rfam family: Eukaryotic large subunit ribosomal RNA
Source: RNAcentral
ACGGCCCCCCCUUUUGCAUAUUUCAAUAGCGGAGGAAAAGAAACCAACAGGGAUUACCUCAGUAACGGCGAGUGAAGCGGUAACAGCUCAAAUUUGAAAUCUGGCCUCACGGUCCGAGUUGUAAUUUGUAGAGGAUGCUUCGAGCAUGGUCUGGCCUAAGUUCCUUGGAACAGGACGUCAUAGAGGGUGAGAAUCCCGUAUGCGGCCAGGUGCCUACGCUCAUGUGAAGCUCCUUCGACGAGUCGAGUUGUUUGGGAAUGCAGCUCAAAAUGGGUGGUAAAUUUCAUCUAAAGCUAAAUAUUGGCCAGAGACCGAUAGCGCACAAGUAGAGUGAUCGAAAGAUGAAAAGCACUUUGGAAAGAGAGUUAAACAGUACGUGAAAUUGUUGAAAGGGAAGCGCUUGCAACCAGACUUGCGCGCGGCCGAUCAUCCGGUGUUCUCACCGGUGCACUCGGCCGUGCUCAGGCCAGCAUCGGUUUUGGCGGCUGGAUAAAGGCCCUAGGAAUGUAGCUCCUCUCGGGGAGUGUUAUAGCCUAGGGUGCAAUGCAGCCUGCUGGGACCGAGGACCGCGCUCGGCUAGUACGACUGACGUAACCUGACCCCCU